AUUGAACGCUGGCGGCAGGCCUAACACAUGCAAGUCGAGCGGAUGAAGGGAGCUUGCUCCUGGAUUCAGCGGCGGACGGGUGAGUAAUGCCUAGGAAUCUGCCUGGUAGUGGGGGAUAACGUCCGGAGACGGGCGCUAAUACCGCAUACGUCCUGAGGGAGAAAGUGGGGGAUCUUCGGACCUCACGCUAUCAGAUGAGCCUAGGUCGGAUUAGCUAGUUGGUGGGGUAAAGGCCUACCAAGGCGACGAUCCGUAACUGGUCUGAGAGGAUGAUCAGUCACACUGGAACUGAGACACGGUCCAGACUCCUACGGGAGGCAGCAGUGGGGAAUAUUGGACAAUGGGCGAAAGCCUGAUCCAGCCAUGCCGCGUGUGUGAAGAAGGUCUUCGGAUUGGAAAGCACUUUAAGUUGGGAGGAAGGGCAGUAAGUUAAUACCUUGCUGUUUUGACGUUACCAACAGAAUAAGCACCGGCUAACUUCGUG
Molecule: ribosomal RNA, 484 nt
Filed under: uncultured bacterium
Lineage: Bacteria
Description: partial 16S ribosomal RNA
Rfam family: Bacterial small subunit ribosomal RNA
Source: RNAcentral